GGAGAGAUGUCCGAGUGGUUGAAGGAGCACGCCUGGAAAGCGUGUGUACGUUAAUAGCGUACCGAGGGUUCGAAUCCCUCUCUCUCCG
Non-coding RNA from Geobacteraceae bacterium GWC2_58_44, 88 nucleotides. NCBI's taxonomy places the organism in Bacteria, Pseudomonadati, Thermodesulfobacteriota, Desulfuromonadia, Geobacterales, Geobacteraceae. The record is from Rfam.